UUGAUUUCUGUGGGGCAGGUUCAAGUCCUGUCUUCUUAGGUGAGAAGGA
RNAcentral lists this transfer RNA (49 nucleotides) under Dendrotriton bromeliacius (Volcan Tajumulco bromelidad salamander). RNAcentral describes it as "partial tRNA-Gln". The record is from RNAcentral. Lineage: Eukaryota; Metazoa; Chordata; Amphibia; Caudata; Plethodontidae.